UUUCAUCGGAGCAUAGCCUGUGAAUCGAAGUCGAACACAACCCUGACGUUGACGAAUACUAAUGAUGACAUGUCAUUAUAAUUACUCCUUUAUCCAGGUAAUUGCAUUCUUGGUCUCGAAAUGGAAAACACUCAGAGGAUCAGAGGCUACAGUCUCCAGACAUUUGCGAUUGUUGGGGCUGGACAAUGAACCCAAGCAACAGUGAAGCUAUGUGUCAGUUUUAUUUCAAUAUGGAUACAGCGUCUCAAUGGCAAAUGCAGGUUUGUUGGUUUCUGGGUCCUCCAGCAUCUGGAAAUUCAUAACCAGUAGAAUGUUUCGUAUUUGUUUCAGAAGAAUCGGUAUACCGAAUUUCCCAG
This 356-nucleotide unclassified non-coding RNA is filed under the name Athalia rosae (coleseed sawfly). Its description in RNAcentral is "misc RNA ENSAEAG00005005287.1". Lineage: Eukaryota; Metazoa; Arthropoda; Insecta; Hymenoptera; Athaliidae. The record is from RNAcentral.